Molecule: ribosomal RNA, 253 nt
Filed under: uncultured bacterium
Lineage: Bacteria
Description: partial 16S ribosomal RNA
Rfam family: Bacterial small subunit ribosomal RNA
Source: RNAcentral
UACAGAGGGGGCAAGCGUCGUUCGGAAUUACUGGGCGUAAAGGGCGCGUAGGCGGCCUGUUAAGUCGAACGUGAAAUCCCCGGGCUCAACCCGGGAACUGCGUCCGAUACUGGCAGGCUUGAAUCCGGGAGAGGGAUGCGGAAUUCCAGGUGUAGCGGUGAAAUGCGUAGAUAUCUGGAGGAACACCGGUGGCGAAGGCGGCAUCCUGGACCGGCAUUGACGCUGAGGCGCGAAAGCGUGGGGAGCAAACGGG